Molecule: long non-coding RNA, 234 nt
Organism: Spea bombifrons (plains spadefoot toad)
Lineage: Eukaryota; Metazoa; Chordata; Amphibia; Anura; Pelobatidae
Exons: 2
Source: RefSeq, a predicted model, not a curated record
GCGGAAUUCACGUUUAUAGAGAUAAAUAGCUUCUACUCCCCAAAAUUUAUCAUAUUAUUAAAACAAACGAUUUCUUUAAUUAGAAAAACUCGCUGAAGCAGCUAUUCUCAUCAAAGCUUAUUUGUUCUCGAUAUAGAGGAGGUACCUCAACACGGGGCUGCUUCGGGAUGAAGUGCAAAGGGUUAAGGCAAAAGAGCGGUUUGCUCCUUAAAUCAAGGCAGGCAGGGUCAUCGC